UUUCCGUAGGUGAACCUGCGGAAGGAUCAUUAAAGUUAUAGUCCCCUGGCCCUCUGGGCUGGGGUCUUCUAUACCACCCUUUGUUUAUUACACCUUUGUUGCUUUGGCAGGCCUGCCCUCGGGCUGCUGGCUCCGGCCGGCUCGCGUCCGCCAGAGGACCUAAACUCUGUUUGUAUAUGAAGUCUGAGUACUAUAUAAUAGUUAAAACUUUCAACAACGGAUCUCUUGGUCCUG
This 234-nucleotide unclassified non-coding RNA is filed under the name plant metagenome. RNAcentral's name for it is "partial contains small subunit ribosomal RNA, internal transcribed spacer 1, and 5.8S ribosomal RNA". The record is from RNAcentral.